AUAUAUGCAGACAACACAAUAAGCUUUUCACCUCCCCAUCUUCUCUACAAAGUUUCCCUCCCAAACCCUUUCUUCUCUACGGAUGUAUCUCCAAAACAGCAACCACCAACAUACAUCAGACCCAACCUCAUCUCUCCUCUCAAGCUCAGCAACAAUCCCCCCCGUGUUUCUUCUCCGGUGUGACCAUCGGCGGCGGCGGUGGUUGUUUCCAGCCGCAACCCCCCCUUUACCGUUACUCCUCUCAUCCUCCAUCCCGCUCACCUCCUCUCUCUCACUCUGUAACAGAGCCGACAGCCACCGCGGCGGUGGCGGCGCAACAGGAACAGGAGCCGCAGCAGCGGCGGACGUCGGUUCCGAUCCGGCUUGUUCCCGGUCUAGUUCAGGUCCGGCUUCAGUUUGGGUUAGUUCACUGUUAGUUUGAGUGCCGGUUGGAAACAUCCGGUCACGGGUUCGAGUUCCGGCUAACUCCCGUCAACUUCCGAUCGUCUCAACUCCAGUUUGGGUUCAGUUUCGGGUUCCGUUUCAGCGGGUUUUCGGGUUUAGUUCGGCUUAGUUCAACUUGGGUUCACGUCGGCAGCCCCGAGUUAUGUUCGACUCAGUUUUGUUUCGAGUUUUGUUUUGUCUAUACGUUGAUUCAAGGCUGCUUGACUUUCGGUUCACACGGUUCGAUUCGGGUCAGAUUGUAGCUCGAGUUCGCCCCUUUUCCUUCACUGUUUCGGGUGAUCGUUUUCCGUUCGUUAUUCUCCAUCUUUACUCGUGCGUUAUUUCAAGAAAUUCUUAUACGCAACCAAUGUUGAUUAUUGAAGUAUGGAUGAUUCAUGAAACAAGUUUAGGGUGGACUGGAUACACGCCUAGAAUAUUCUAUCUUUUGUUCGUUAUGUUACUUGUUGAAACAAUGUUGUUAUUUCCUUUUGAAUCAUGUAUGACUUUUAAGUUUUGAAAUGAAAUUUGAAUUUAAAUUAAUUAUUGUCA
Molecule: long non-coding RNA, 972 nt
Organism: Helianthus annuus (common sunflower)
Lineage: Eukaryota; Viridiplantae; Streptophyta; Magnoliopsida; Asterales; Asteraceae
Exons: 4
Source: RefSeq, a predicted model, not a curated record